RNAcentral lists this unclassified non-coding RNA (120 nucleotides) under uncultured fungus. RNAcentral describes it as "sequence contains ITS1". Lineage: Eukaryota; Fungi. The record is from RNAcentral.
AAAAACAUUUAAUGAAAUGUCGGGGCGUGCUUUUCGCGCGCCCCGAGUAUUCAACCAACCCGCUCGUGUAUUUGAAUCAAACAAAAUUAAACAAAUAAACUGAUAACAGUAAUUAAGAAA